RNAcentral lists this ribosomal RNA (255 nucleotides) under uncultured bacterium. Its description in RNAcentral is "partial 16S ribosomal RNA". It matches the Rfam family "Bacterial small subunit ribosomal RNA", at positions 524 to 776 of the family's 1533-position model. The record is from RNAcentral.
UACGUAGGGGGCGAGCGUUGUCCGGAUUUAUUGGGCGUAAAGAGCUCGUAGGCGGUUCGAUAAGUCGGAUGUGAAAUCUCCACGCUCAACGUGGAGGGGCCAUUCGAUACUGUCGUGACUCGAGUCCGGUAGGGGAGUGUGGAAUUCCAGGUGUAGCGGUGAAAUGCGUAGAUAUCUGGAGGAACACCGGUGGCGAAGGCGGCAUCCUGGACCAACACUGACGCUGAGUGAGCGAAAGCCAGGGGAGCAAACGGG